Molecule: ribosomal RNA, 551 nt
Filed under: Taricha torosa tarosa
Lineage: Eukaryota; Metazoa; Chordata; Amphibia; Caudata; Salamandridae
Description: Taricha torosa torosa partial 16S ribosomal RNA
Rfam family: Bacterial large subunit ribosomal RNA
Source: RNAcentral
CGCCUCUUGCAAUAUAAAGUAUAAGAGGUCCCGCCUGCCCAGUGAUAAUUUCAACGGCCGCGGUAUCAUGACCGUGCAAAGGUAGCGUAAUCACUUGUCUUUUAAAUAAAGACCCGUAUGAAAGGCAAAACGAAAGCUCAACUGUCUCUUUAAUCCAAUCAAUGAAAUUAAUCUCUCCGUGCAGAAGCGGAGAUGAUAAUAUAAGACGAGAAGACCCUAUGGAGCUUCAAAUACAAAAUUAACUAUACCACCCCCAAAAAGCCAACAGGCAAAACAACCUACUAUAGCCAUAAUUUGAAUUUUCGGUUGGGGCGACCACGGAAGAAAACCCAUCCUCCGAGAUAAACAAUUUAGAACCACACUUCAAAAACUAAAACAUUUAUAUAAAUGACCCACUAAGUGACCAACGAACCAAGUUACCCUAGGGAUAACAGCGCAAUCCUUUCUAAGAGUCCAUAUCGACGAAUGGGUUUACGACCUCGAUGUUGGAUCAGGACACCCAGAUGGUGCAGCCGCUAUCAAAGGUUCGUUUGUUCAACGAUUAAAGUCCU